Molecule: non-coding RNA, 1904 nt
Organism: Danio rerio (zebrafish)
Lineage: Eukaryota; Metazoa; Chordata; Actinopteri; Cypriniformes; Danionidae
Source: RefSeq, a predicted model, not a curated record
UGUGUGUUUUCCACACCCCUUUCAAUCCCUCCUAUAAACUUUGCAGCAUGUCCCAAGAGCCAGUGUGUCUACAUUUCCUGCUGCUUCACAAUCAUCCUUAUAAAGGACUGUUUCUUUCUUUGGCUGCCAUUCGACGGCACCACUGGACCAGCACCAGCCUCAUCAUCUCCACUGCUCUCACUGCCGAUAGUCUGCACUUUUGACUGUCAGGAUGGAGCGGGUGCAGCAUAUGACGCGCUCUGCGAUCCGGAGAGCAUCCAACAUCGAGGUGAACCCGCAGACCAAACGCAACCUACAGGAUCUCAUCAUCAACUUCUCCCUCAUCCUAAUCUGCCUGCUGCUCAUCUACAUCAUCGUCUUGCUCAUGUGACACCGAAAAACACAACCACAAAUCAUAAGACGCGUUCAAGAUCUUGGACGAUUUUUUAAGGGAAUUGAAAAUGACGCGACACAUUUCAGUUUGCUGAGAUGAUUUUUUUUUUGCUCCAUUUGUGUUUGUUUUGCAUUAAUCUUACGUUGAUAAGUAUAUGUUUGAAGCAUUGAAUGGCACUGAGUACAAGUCUGCUUUUGUUCUCUGAAUCAUGUGUUUUCUAUUUGUAGUGAUUCAUAGGAAUAUCGUCACCUUGGAAUAAAGGUUAUAUCUGAGAGGGUUUGAGAUACUGAGUUUUAAAAAAAAUAUCCUAAAAAAAUAAAAUAAAAUCGAUCCCCGAGUCUUUUCCCCUCCUGAAGACAAAAGAACCUGUUUUGAACAAUGUUGGAAUCCGGUAACCAUUGAGAUCAAUAGUAAUUUUUUUUUGUAUGGAAGUCAAUGGUUACCGGUUUCCAACAAGUUCUUUUCAAUGUUUUUGUGUACUACACCAAAUAGAAACUCAAACAGGUUUUGCAACCCAGGCUCAUUAUUUAAUCGUAGCUCUGUAUACAUUUCUGGAGAGCACAAAAUACGUCCCAGGAGGUACUCUUUUUGCAGUUUUGUUUUCGCGAAUUCAUCACUGUGAACACUUUUCCAGAUCUCAAAUUUCUCUUGCGAGGGCCAUUCGCACCUGCUGUUCUCACGUAAAGCCGCUGUCAGCUGACUGACUGACACUCCCACUGACCCCCUUCUCUAAAGCCAACCGAUAAUGUUUUCAAAAGCACAGAUUAGACCCGCCCACCCACUUCCCUAAACCCCACCCACUUCUAUAAACCCAACCAAUAGUUUUUUUAAAAGCAAUGCAGAAAAAGAAAAGCCCUCGUGACCACCUGAUUUUUACCAUGUUUUCAGAUCUUACCUAAUUCUCACCCUGUUAUUUACUUGUUUAUUUUAUUCUUUGGCUUCUGUUUUUGUUUUACCUGCUUUCUGGAAUCGUUCUUCACCAGACUCGAACCCCAUUGUCACGGUCAACUCCUCUCUGCAUUUCAAGUCCACCGACAUAAGCAGCGAGCCACUAGGAAAACUGAUAACAGUAGAAAAGCCGUCCACACUUGAGGUAAGCGGCCAGCUGGUAGUGCAAAAAAGAAACAAACUUGUUGGUGGCAUCAUACUGUACCAAACUAUAUUGUUCAUUUUAGAGACAAAAUGCAGACAUACAUUGCUCUGGCUACAUAAUUCACGCUCUCCAGAAAUGUAUACGGGGGUGUGUUUUCACAAUGUGCCUGUUGGGUUUUUGACAAGUAGAGAAGAGUAAUGUUGACAGAAUUUUCAGUUUUUUAGUGAACUAUCUUUUAAAGUUUUGUCCAUUCCAUACAGCAAAAAUGCCAUGUAGGAGAAGUAAUUUUCAUUGAUGAAAAUAAAAGAAACUUUAAAUGUAAAUGUUAAAUAUUUUUAAAAAAUGUUUAAUACUCUCCAAUUUAUAAAUGGGGAUUUUUGUAACAGGUCAAAUGGUGUCGUCUAAUUCUAAACAAAUAAAAUCACUUUCCAUUUGAAA